Molecule: ribosomal RNA, 301 nt
Filed under: uncultured bacterium
Lineage: Bacteria
Description: partial 16S ribosomal RNA
Rfam family: Bacterial small subunit ribosomal RNA
Source: RNAcentral
CAGCCGCCGCGGUAAUACGUAGGUGGCAAGCGUUGUCCGGAAUUAUUGGGCGUAAAGGGCUCGCAGGCGGUUUCUUAAGUCUGAUGUGAAAGCCCCCGGCUCAACUGGGGAGGGUCAUUGGAAACUGGGAAACUUGAGUGCAGAAGAGGAGAGUGGAAUUCCACGUGUAGCGGUGAAAUGCGUAGAGAUGUGGAGGAACACCAGUGGCGAAGGCGACUCUCUGGUCUGUAACUGACGCUGAGGAGCGAAAGCGUGGGGAGCGAACAGGAUUAGAUACCCCAGUAGUCCCUGUCUCUUAUAC